Molecule: ribosomal RNA, 408 nt
Filed under: Triticum aestivum (bread wheat)
Lineage: Eukaryota; Viridiplantae; Streptophyta; Magnoliopsida; Poales; Poaceae
Description: partial small subunit ribosomal RNA
Source: RNAcentral
AUGUAUACCCUAUCGGAAAGUGUCCAUGGGGACUUUGAUCGGGUUCUAGCAAGGUUCUUUUGGCAGGAUGCGAAUGGCCGCCCAAAAUACCACAUGGUCAAGUGGGCGGAUAUCUACAUGCCCAAGGACAGGGGCGGUCUAGGCAUUAUCGCCUCUCACCGCAUGAAUGUCGCACUCAUGCUGCAUUGGGUGUGUCGGAUCCUACAUGGUGAGGGUGGUCUUUGGCUUCAGCUGACCCAGACUCUCCUGGCUUGCUCUCGACGCGCUGGAUCCCAAUUCUGGAAGUCUAUCCAAAAGAUUGGAGGAAAUUCGUCUGGGUGUCACCUUCUCAGUUGGCAAUGGGAGGGCCACCCAGUUCUGGCUCGACUCGUGGUUAGAGGGGGAGAGGUUGCGCUUGGGCUUCCCUAG